RNAcentral lists this ribosomal RNA (420 nucleotides) under uncultured eukaryote. Its description in RNAcentral is "SSU rRNA". It matches the Rfam family "Eukaryotic small subunit ribosomal RNA", at positions 592 to 1013 of the family's 1831-position model. The record is from RNAcentral.
CAAUAGCGUAUAUUAAAGUUGUUGCAGUUAAAAGCUCGUAGUUGGAUUUCUGACAGGAGCGACCAUGCCGGGCUUGAUUGUCCGUGUUUUGUGUUGUCUCCAGUCAUCCUCGUGGAGAGCGUUUCUGGCAUUAGUUUGUUGGAGGCGGGACCCGCGUCGUUUACUGUGAAAAAUUAGAGUGUUUAAAGCAGGCAAUUGGCUUGAAUACAUUAGCAUGGAAUAAUAAGAUAGGACUUUGGUGCUAUUUUUGUUGGUUUGCACAUCAAGGUAAUGAUCAACAGAAUCAGUCGGGGAUAUUCGUAUGCAAAUGUCAGAGGUGAAAUUCUUGGAUUUUUUACAGACGAAACUACUGCGAAAGCAUUUAUCAAGGAUGUUUUCAUUAAUCAAGAACGAAAGUUAGGGGAUCGAAGACGAUCAGAU